Nannospalax galili (Upper Galilee mountains blind mole rat) is the source of this 139-nucleotide small nuclear RNA. RefSeq annotates it as U11 spliceosomal RNA. The transcript has a single exon. The record is from RefSeq and is a predicted model, not a curated record. Lineage: Eukaryota; Metazoa; Chordata; Mammalia; Rodentia; Spalacidae.
AAAAAGGGCUUCUGUCGUGAGUGGCACAUGGUAGGGCAACUCGAUUGCUCUGUGUGCAGAAUUGACAUCAAGAGAUUUUGGAAGCAUAAUUUUUUGGUAUCUGGGCAGCUGGUGAUUGUUGAAAAAAAUUAUUAUCAUG